CGUUAAAACACCGGUUCCUGUACUAUCACCGAAGUUAAGCAACGUCGGGCCUUGUCAAUACCCAGAUGGGUGACCGCUUGUGAAUGCUUG
Non-coding RNA from Acanthosepion pharaonis, 90 nucleotides. NCBI's taxonomy places the organism in Eukaryota, Metazoa, Mollusca, Cephalopoda, Sepiida, Sepiidae. The record is from the annotation of a GenBank genome assembly.